RNAcentral lists this ribosomal RNA (297 nucleotides) under uncultured bacterium. RNAcentral's name for it is "partial 16S ribosomal RNA". It matches the Rfam family "Bacterial small subunit ribosomal RNA", at positions 789 to 1084 of the family's 1533-position model. The record is from RNAcentral.
GGUAGUCCACGCCGUAAACGAUGAGUACUAGGUGUGGGGGUAUCGACCCCCUCCGUGCCGAAGCCAACGCGAUAAGUACUCCGCCUGGGGACUACGGCCGCAAGGCUAAAACUCAAAGGAAUUGACGGGGGCCCGCACAAGCAGCGGAGCGUGUGGUUUAAUUCGAUGAUACGCGAAGAACCUCACCCAGGUUUGACAUGCACGUUUACCGAUCCGAAAGGUGAGGGACCCUUCGGGGGCGCGUGCACAGGUGUUGCAUGGCCGUCGUCAGCUCGUGCCGUGAGGUGUUGGGUUAAG